Molecule: signal recognition particle RNA, 97 nt
Filed under: Gammaproteobacteria bacterium RIFCSPHIGHO2_12_FULL_41_20
Lineage: Bacteria; Pseudomonadati; Pseudomonadota; Gammaproteobacteria
Description: signal recognition particle sRNA small type
Rfam family: Bacterial small signal recognition particle RNA
About the family: The signal recognition particle (SRP) is a universally conserved ribonucleoprotein involved in the co-translational targeting of proteins to membranes.
Source: RNAcentral
UAUGGGUCCCUUCGCAGCGCUAGGCUACGAACCCCGCCAGGUCCGGAAGGAAGCAACGGUAGUAGCUGAUGCGAGUGCCGAAGUGUGGCUGGUACUG